CUGGCUCAGAUUGAACGCUGGCGGCAGGCCUAACACAUGCAAGUCGAACGGUAACAGGAAGCAGCUUGCUGCUUGCUGACGAGUGGCGGACGGGUGAGUAAUGUCUGGGAAACUGCCCGAUGGAGGGGGAUAACUACUGGAAACGGUAGCUAAUACCGCAUAAUGUCGCAAGACCAAAGAGGGGGACCUUCGGGCCUCUUGCCAUCGGAUGUGCCCAGAUGGGAUUAGCUUGUUGGUGAGGUAACGGCUCACCAAGGCGACGAUCCCUAGCUGGUCUGAGAGGAUGACCAGCCACACUGGAACUGAGACACGGUCCAGACUCCUACGGGAGGCAGCAGUGGGGAAUAUUGCACAAUGGGCGCAAGCCUGAUGCAGCCAAUGCCGCGUGUAUGAAGAAGGCCUUCGGGUUGUAAAGUACUUUCAGCGGGGAGGAAGGGGUUAAGGUUAAUAACCUUAGCCAUUGACGUUACCCGCAGAAGAAGCACCGGCUAACUCCGUGCCAGCCGCCGC
RNAcentral lists this ribosomal RNA (510 nucleotides) under uncultured bacterium. RNAcentral describes it as "bacterial SSU rRNA". It matches the Rfam family "Bacterial small subunit ribosomal RNA", at positions 19 to 518 of the family's 1533-position model. The record is from RNAcentral.